Molecule: long non-coding RNA, 491 nt
Filed under: Heterocephalus glaber (naked mole-rat)
Lineage: Eukaryota; Metazoa; Chordata; Mammalia; Rodentia; Bathyergidae
Description: lncRNA (ENSHGLG00100047984.1)
Source: RNAcentral
CAAUGGAAUAAGAAUAACGAAAAAUCUGGAAACCUCAAAAAUAUGUGGAAAUUAAAUAACAUACUCCUAAAUAACUAAUGAUUGAGUCAAAGAAGAAAUCACAAGAAAAAUGAGAUGCAGUACUUGAAGGGAAGUUCACAGCUACAAAGGCCUAUUACAGUAGCUGGGUGAAGAGGCACAUAUUUGUAAUCCCAGCACUCCGGAAGCUGAGGAUCGAAUUCAGGACCUUGCACUCUCCCAGGCGCAGGCACCACUGAGCUAAAUCCCGGGCCCCCAUAGUAAGUUUUUAAAACUUACAUUUACUAUAUUUUUCCAUCACACCUCAUAGAAAGUAUUGGUAAUCAGAUGACCUAGGACUUCCCAACUGCAGCACUGACAUCUAAAAGACAAGAGAGCAAUGCCUUCAAAAUCUGAAGAAACUCCACUCCGCCCAAAGGAACCCAAACAAGGGCUCCAAAAGAUGGCUGCACAGUUCACCGCAAAGGUCACUC